CAGAUAUAGUUCAUUGGUAGAAUGCCAGCUUCCCAAGCUGGAGAGGCGGGUUCGAUUCCCGUUAUCUG
Molecule: transfer RNA, 68 nt
Filed under: Faecalicatena contorta
Lineage: Bacteria; Bacillati; Bacillota; Clostridia; Lachnospirales; Lachnospiraceae
Also listed under: 5 other names
Rfam family: tRNA
About the family: Transfer RNA (tRNA) molecules are approximately 80 nucleotides in length. Their secondary structure includes four short double-helical elements and three loops (D, anti-codon, and T loops).
Source: RNAcentral